This 617-nucleotide long non-coding RNA is filed under the name Homo sapiens (human). Its description in RNAcentral is "non-protein coding lnc-LCE3D-1:1". The record is from RNAcentral. Lineage: Eukaryota; Metazoa; Chordata; Mammalia; Primates; Hominidae.
CUCAGGAACAGCCUUCUCCUGCCUCCUCUGCACCUGGACAACUCAACUCCUGCCAAGAUGUCCUGCCAGCAGAACCAGCAGCAGUGCCAACCCCCACCCAAGUGUCCCUCACCCAAGUGUCCCCCAAAGAGCCCAGUACAGUGUCUGCCUCCAGCUUCCUCUGGCUGUGCCCCAAGCUCUGGGGGCUGUGGCCCUAGCUCCGAGGGCGGCUGCUUCCUGAACCACCACAGGCGCCACCACCGAUGCCGGCGCCAGAGGCCCAACUCCUGUGACAGGGGCAGUGGUCAGCAAGGCGGGGGCUCUGGCUGCGGCCAUGGCUCUGGAGGCUGCUGCUGACCUGGAUCCUGAUGCUGAGACAAGCGAUUUUGGAGGAAACAAGAAUCCCAAGGGCCCAGGAAAACCCCAUCUUGAUGCAUGAGUUCCCAGAUACCCUCUUCUGGCUUUCACAGGCUGAGCUAGGGGUUUUCCUGUGGAAGGUCUGAGCUCUCCCCAGAAGGCACUUCCUGUCUGAUGUCCAGGAUGUCACAUGUUCCCUUACCCCUGUACCUGUGAAGGAUUGGCAGUGCUUGUGCCUGACCUCAUCAAAAAAUAAAGCUCCUUGUCCUCAUUAAAAAAAA